Molecule: long non-coding RNA, 1731 nt
Filed under: Olea europaea subsp. europaea
Lineage: Eukaryota; Viridiplantae; Streptophyta; Magnoliopsida; Lamiales; Oleaceae
Source: RNAcentral
UAAAGGAGCAACUGCUUCAGGUAGAUAUCUGGACUUGUCAUUGAUUCCAUUUUAACUAUAGUAAAGUGUCAGGGAUUGGUUCUACACAAGCUUGAAAUUUCAUUUGAGAAUUGUUGAUGCAUGAUCUCUCUCUCUCUCUCACACACACAGGUAUAGUUCCUUGAAACCAUUUGGGAAACAUUGGAAUGUAUUGUUUACAGUAAAGUUUGAUCAUGCUUAGCGUUGGCUUUCCUUUUUGAGAAGGGGAGAACUAAAUAGUGAUUCAACUUAUGGGCCUUAAUAUGUUGAAAUUGAAUUUUAUGCAUUAAUGAUGCAUCAAAUGUUUGAAUUUCACCCAAGACAUGGAUUAAUGUUUAAGUCUUCCUGUGCAUCUACCUAAUUCAAGAUGUUCCUAUUCAGGUGCUGCAUCUCAGCAUCAAGAAACAUCUGCUGUGGGAGAUGCUUCUCAAACAUUUUUCUCAAGGUCUCCAUCCAACAUGUCGGUGGGAGGAAAGGCUUCCGACCAACCCAAAAGGACACCGGUGUCUCAAGAAGAGAUCGAGGCUAUCUUGGUGUGUAAGAACCACUGAGUACAUAUAACUAUAGGAAUAUUAUGGGUUUAUUAAUUUAUCAUCUCUUAGUCUUUCAGACCACGUUUUGCUUGAAAGUUUCUCCUGUCAAUUCUUCCAGUUGUUGGUCUCAAAACACACCUUGAAAACUUUGGUCGAGUACAUAUAACUAUAGGAAUAUUAUGGAUUUACUAAUUUAGUAUCACCUCUUGGUCUCAAAGCACACACUUGGAAACCAAAGUUUCCACUUUCGCCAUAUUUUUUUUAUUCGUUUCUUCUUCGGAAAGAAAUAUCAAAGAAAUCGAUGUUUCAAGAAAUGGAUGUGAGGUGAACUAAGCUAGCCUCGAUUUGAUUUAAUUAAUACUUAAUGGCGAAAAUCCACUUUUAAUUAUUCUAUUAUCAAUGUGCCGGUUGCAUUCCAUUGAAGCAUUUAAAUAUCCAGGAGAUUUAUCAUUGUAUUUCAGUUGUGGUAUAAAACAACUGAAAUUUUGGUGGUUGGUCGGAAUAUUACUGCUAUCCAUUGAGGAUUUUUUUUUUAGCAAUUUUAGUGGCACAGUUUUGCACCUGUACAUAUAUCCUCACUUCAUUUAGAAUCCAAAUCUUGAAUGAGUGACAAUUGGUCUUUGUUUUUUGCUCUCAAAUCUUUGCUUUGGCAUUUAUCAACUGCUCUUUCCCUUACUAUUUGUUGAUCAUUUUCUCAUCUGACAGUUGGGCGGCUGUAUCUGAACAUCUCACGGAAUCUUGCAUUGAGGAACAACAUUAUAACUAGUUCUUGGCUUUCGUAUCCAUCCUUUCAUGUCUGGAGAAUUCCGACUUGAGUCCUUUUUCUUGAAACUUUAUGAGCCUGCUAUCUCGUUGAUUGAUUGUUUGUACACAAAAGGAGAGGAAAUAAGAUACGUGAAUUAGUUAUCUAUUCUUGUCCUGAUUUGGAUUAAGUUGGAGAUUAUGGAAGUGAAUGAAUUUCUGGCUUGACACUGAUCACAUUACAUUUCAUUUUCAUUCGUUUGAAAACAAAAGAUAUCGAAUAUCAAACAUGCCCUACUUGUAGAAAAAAAGGCUAAAUAACCCAGUUAAGUUGCUGAUUAUGUAUUAUUGUGCAAAAAGUACUGUGAAUGCAAGAUCUCAUAAUAGGUGAACAUAAUUUUACAUCACGAAAUGUUCUUCUCUACCAUGCUCUCAAGGA